Non-coding RNA from Paramuricea clavata, 645 nucleotides. Lineage: Eukaryota; Metazoa; Cnidaria; Anthozoa; Malacalcyonacea; Plexauridae. The record is from the annotation of a GenBank genome assembly.
CAUAGAUAUAGUUUAUUAGCUUUUCUCAGUAGUUUUAAAUACACGCCCUGUCUUCGACCCAAAAAUAUAAAGUGUCCCAAAAUAUGUAAACAAACGCCACACUAUCGUACGAUGUGACGUAUUUAUCUAUUACUUCCGGUUUCCUAUUUCCGGACACACUCCCCCCAUAUAUGUUCCUCUAAGGAGAUAUAUGUCAACCUAUAGUCCUUUAUGACGUUCGAACAAAACAAGAAUGUUACUUAAAUGUAGUAGUAUAACGUCCUUAUUCUAACUUUAGAGUUUUUGCAAGUCAAUCAUUGUCCUCUUCGUUAAGAUUGUUUUGAAUUCUUAACCUUGCUGCAGCAGCUGCAUCUCUUCGAGGUCUUGGCAUGAACUCUGGAGCUGUAGGGUUAAGUUCUACAGGCAGCGAACGGUCGCAUGAUAAUUCUAAAGGGCUGAGGUGUUGGGUCGCUCGCUCGAGAAUUCCGUUGCUUGUUUUGACUUUAGCUGCUCGUGUUAUCCCGUCUCUCCCUUGGAUGAGUUCCUCCACAACGCCAAGUUUCCAGUGAUUACGGUUCUUUGCAUCACCUUUGAUAAUGAUGACAUCGCCAAUCUUCGGAUGCAAGGUCUGUUCGCCUCCGGCUCGUCUGUGCUGCUCUCGAAGUG